AUGAAACAAGGAUGUAAGGAAUGGAAUGAGGCCCUAGUGCACCAAUUGUUCCAUAGUUAUGAUGCGGAGGAAAUAUGCAAGAUCAAACUCCCAAGGAGUGAGGCUGCAGAUUGUGUAGCGUGGCAUGGUGAUAAGUCAGGCAUAUUCAUUGCUUCCAGCUCUAGCUGCGACGCGGAUAACAGGAGCAUAUGGGAUUAUAUAUGGAAAGCAAACUUCCCAAAAAAGGUAAGGAUAUUUGCUUGGCGAGUGGCCACAGAGACCUUACCCACGAAAGAAAAUAAAUGGAAAAGGACCCUCGAAGUGGAUAACAUUUGCAAUAUUUGCGGUGUGGAGACAGAAAAUGAGUUCCAUGCAGUGAUAAACUGUAGUAAGGCUAAAGCAUUACGAGCUGAGAUGAGGUCUCAUUGGGUGCUCCCAAACGAGAAUGAGUUUCAGUACACGGGCAAUGAUUGGCUGCAAAACCUGUUGGGAUCAUGUGCGGACAAGGUACGUCGUAAGAUACUCCUUCUGUUAUGGAGAGCUUGGUGGCUACAAGAUGAUUGUAUUCAUGCAAAGGGAGAGGCCUUGAUUGGUCAGUCUGCCAGCUUCCUGGUGAGAUAUGCGGAAGAAACAAAGAUGGGGGAGACAGCAAACAUAGAUGUUGAGGAACUGUCGGCUACAAGGUCUCUGUCGAUAAAUCAGACUGAGUAA
This 690-nucleotide ribosomal RNA is filed under the name Triticum aestivum (bread wheat). RNAcentral's name for it is "partial small subunit ribosomal RNA". Lineage: Eukaryota; Viridiplantae; Streptophyta; Magnoliopsida; Poales; Poaceae. The record is from RNAcentral.